Molecule: ribosomal RNA, 424 nt
Filed under: uncultured bacterium
Lineage: Bacteria
Description: partial 16S ribosomal RNA
Rfam family: Bacterial small subunit ribosomal RNA
Source: RNAcentral
GAAUAUUGGACAAUGGGGGGAACCCUGAUCCAGCCAUGCCGCGCGUGUGCACAAUGCCAUUUGGAUGGAAAGCCCUUUAAGCGAGGAGGAGGCUACUCCAGUUAAUACCAAGGGCAAGUGGACGUUACUCGCAGAAUAAGCACCCGCCAACUCUGUGACAGCAGCCGCGGUACUACACAGGGUGCAAGCGUUAAUCUGAUUUACUGGGCGUAAAGCGCGCGUAGGUGGCCAAUUAAGUCAAAUGUGAGAUCCCCGGGCUGAACUUGGGAAUUGCAUUCGAUACUGGUUGGCUAGAGUAUGGGAGAGGAUGGUAGAAUUCCAGGUGUAGCGGUGAAAUGCGUAGAGAUCUGGAGGAAUACCGAUGGCGAAGGCAGCCAUCUGGCCUAAUACUGACACUGAGGUGCGAAAGCAUGGGGAGCAAACA